Long non-coding RNA from Vanessa atalanta (red admiral), 143 nucleotides. RefSeq lists it as uncharacterized. The record is from RefSeq and is a predicted model, not a curated record. Lineage: Eukaryota; Metazoa; Arthropoda; Insecta; Lepidoptera; Nymphalidae. The transcript is spliced from 3 exons.
CCGAACGUUGGGGCGAGUGUUAAAACUCUGCCUUAAGGUGAACCCUUUCGGGCUCGAGAGUGACGUUCGUCCUGAGGGUGUCUCCUAUGAGAUCGCACCUCGGCACAGAACGUAGUCGAUGCUGUGUGAAAUUUAAGCAACAA